Molecule: ribosomal RNA, 3513 nt
Filed under: Triticum aestivum (bread wheat)
Lineage: Eukaryota; Viridiplantae; Streptophyta; Magnoliopsida; Poales; Poaceae
Description: partial small subunit ribosomal RNA
Source: RNAcentral
AUGGAGAUGGUGGAGAAGCUUUCUCUCACCACAAGACCACAUCCACAUCCUUACUACAUCCAAUGGUUCAACAACAGCGGCAAGGUUAAGGUAACAUGUACUGUUCGUGUGCAUUUUAGUAUAUCUACAUAUGCUGAUUAUGUUGAUUGUGAUGUGGUACCUAUGCAAGCAUGUUCCUUAUUACUUGGUAGACCAUGGCAAUUUGAUAAAAAUUCUGUACACCAUGGUAGAAACAAUCACUAUACUCUUGUUCAUAAGGAUAAAAAUAUUACUUUGCUUCCUAUGACUCCUGAUUCCAUUUUGAAAGAUGAUAUUAAUAGAGCUAAUAAAGCAAAACAGGAGACGAAUAAGAGUGAAAAUCAGAUUGUGGCAAAAGAAUUUGAGCAACAAAUGAAGCCUAAUAAUAAACCAUCUAGUGUUGCUUCUGAAAUUAAAUUGAAAAGUGCAUGUUUAUUUGCCACCAAAUCUGAUAUUGAUGAGCUAGAUUUCAGCAAAUCUGUUUGCUAUGCUUUUGUGUGGAAAGAGGCAUUAUUUUCAUUCGAGGACGUGCCUUCCUCUUUGCCUCCUGCUGUCACUAACAUUUUGCAGGAGUUCGCUGACGUCUUUCCACAAGACGUGCCACCGGGAUUACCGCCUAUUCGAGGGAUUGAGCAUCAGAUUGACUUAAUUCCCGGUGCUUCACUGCCAAACCGUGCACCAUACCAUACCAAUCCAGAGGAGACGAAGGAGAUUAUGCGUCAAGUACAAGAGCUUCUCGACAAAGGUUAUAUACGCGAAUCCCUUAGUCCUUGUGCUGUUCCUAUUAUUCUAGUGCCGAAAAAGGAUGGUACAUCAUGUAUGUGUGUUGAUUGUAGAGGCAUUAAUAAUAUUACUAUUCGUUAUCGUCAUCCUAUUCCUUGGCUAGAUGAUAUGCUUGAUGAAUUGAGUGGCUCUACAAUAUUCUCCAAAGUUGAUUUGCCUAGUGGAUACCAUCAAAUUCGUAUGAAAUUGGGAGAUGAAUGGAAAACAGCAUUCAAAACUAAGUUUGGAUUAUAUGAGUGGUUAGUCAUGCCUUUUGGGUUAACUAAUGCACCUAGUACUUUCAUGAGAUUAAUGAACGAAGUUUUACGUGCUUUCAUUGGACGAUUUGUGGUAGUUUACUUUGAUGACAUAUUGAUUUAUAGCAGAUCUUUGGAAGAACAUUUGGAACAUUUACGUGCUUUUUUUAUUGCUCUACGUGAUGCACGUUUGUUUGGUAACCUUGGGAAGUGCACCUUUUGCACCGACCGAGUAUCUUUUCUUGGCUAUGUUGUUACUCCACAGGGAAUUGAAGUUGAUAAAGCCAAGAUUGAAGCUAUUGAGAGUUGGCCGCAACCCAAAACGGUCACACAAGUGAGGAGUUUUCUUGGCCUCGCUGGAUUCUAUAGGCGUUUUGUGAGAGAUUUCAGCACCAUUGUUGCACCUCUCAAUGAGCUUACAAAGAAAGAUGUGCCUUUUCUUUGGGGUACCGCACAGGAAGAAGCCUUCUCGGUAUUGAAAGAUAUUUUGACACAUGCUCCUUUACUCCAACUUCCUGAUUUUAAUAAGACUUUUGAGCUUGAAUGUGAUGCUACUGGAAUUGGAUUAGGCGGUGUGUUAUUACAAGAUGGCAAACCUGUUGCAUACUUUUCUGAAAAAUUGAGUGGGCCUAGUCUGAAUUAUUCUACUUAUGACAAAGAAUUAUAUGCUCUUGUUCGGACUUUAGAAACAUGGCAACAUUAUUUAUGGCCCAAAGAAUUUGUUAUACAUUCUGAUCAUGAAUCUUUGAAACAUAUUAAAAGUCAAGCUAAACUGAAUCAUAGACAUGCUAAAUGGGUUGAAUUCAUUGAGACUUUUCCUUAUGUCAUUAAACACAAGAAGGGAAAAGAAAAUGUUAUUGCCGAUGCAUUGUCUCGCCGCUAUACUAUGCUUUCACAACUUAACUUCAAAAUAUUUGGUUUGGAGACCAUCAAAGAUCAAUAUGUGCAUGAUGCUGAUUUUAAAGAUGUAAUGCAGAAUUGUAAAGAAGGAAGAAUGUGGAACAAGUUCGUCGUUAACGAUGGAUUUGUGUUUCGUGCUAACAAGCUAUGCAUUCCAGCUAGCUCUGUUCGUCUUUUGUUGUUGCAGGAGGCGCAUGGAGGAGGAUUAAUGGGACACUUUGGCGUGAAGAAGACGGAGGACGUACUUGCUACACAUUUCUUUUGGCAAAAGAUGAGACGGGAUGUUGAGCGUUUUGUUGCUCGAUGCACUACAUGUCAAAAAGCUAAGUCACGACUCAAUCCUCAUGGUUUAUAUAUGCCUUUGCCUGUACCUAGUGUUCCUUGGGAGGAUAUAUCUAUGGACUUUGUUUUAGGUUUACCUCGAACAAAGAAGGGGAGGGAUAGCAUAUUUGUUGUCGUGGAUAGAUUCUCGAAAAUGGCACACUUUAUACCAUGUCAUAAAAGCGAUGAUGCUGUUAAUGUUGCUGAUUUGUUCUUUCGUGAAAUUAUUCGCUUGCAUGGUGUGCCAAAUACUAUUGUUUCAGAUCGUGAUACUAAAUUUCUUAGCCACUUUUGGAGAUGUUUAUGGGAUAAGUUGGGGACUAAACUGCUUUUUAGUACUACUUGUCACCCCCAAACUGAUGGACAAACUGAAGUAGUCAAUAGAACGUUGUCUAUUAUGCUUAGGGCUGUUUUGAAGAAUAAUAAGAAAAUGUGGGAGGAAUGCUUGCCUCAUAUUGAAUUUGCUUAUAAUCGUUCAUUGCAUUCUACUACUAAGAUGUGCCCUUUUGAAGUUGUGUAUGGUUUCCUACCUCCUGCACCUAUUGAUUUGUUGCCUCUUCCAUCUUCGAAGAAGGUUAAUUUUGAUGCUAAACAACGUGCUGAAUUGAUUUUAAAAAUGCAUGAGUUAACUAAGGAAAACAUUGAGCGUAUGAAUGCUAAAUAUAAACUUGCUGGAGAUAAGGGUAGAAAACAUGUUGUGUUUGCACCUGGAGAUCUUGUUUGGUUACAUUUGCGUAAGGAUAGAUUUCCUGAUUUGCGCAAAUCAAAGCUAAUGCCACGUGCUGAUGGUCCCUUUAAGGUGUUAGAGAAAAUAAAUGAUAAUGCAUAUAAACUUGAGCUGCCUGCAGAUUUUGGGGUUAGUCCCACUUUUAACAUUGCAGAUUUGAAGCCUUAUUUGGGUGAGGAAGAUGAGCUUCCGUCGAGGAUGACUUCAUUUCAAGAAGGGGAGGAUGAUGAGGACAUCAAUACCAUUGUUACACCCACAGCCCCUACUGCUACAUAUACGGGACCAAUUACUAGAGCUCGCACACGCCAAUUAAAUUAUCAGGUACUUUCGUUUCUUGGUAAUGAUUCUAAUGUUCAUGAGAAUAUGAUGCUGCCUAAAUUGGAUACAUUUGUUUUGCUUACAAAUGAAGGGCCUAGUUUGGAGAAGGAUGAACAGUGGAGCAAGAACAAGCAUGGAGAUGAUGGCAUGCACAAGGGGAACAAGAACGGAGUUACAAGUGAUGAUUUCAGGACUUUGAAGCCACCAUAA